Haemorhous mexicanus (house finch) is the source of this 932-nucleotide long non-coding RNA. RefSeq lists it as uncharacterized. The transcript is spliced from 2 exons. The record is from RefSeq and is a predicted model, not a curated record. Lineage: Eukaryota; Metazoa; Chordata; Aves; Passeriformes; Fringillidae.
AAAAAACCCCAAAAUUCCCCCAAAAAUUCCUCAAAAACCCCCAAAAGUCCCCCGGAAAUUUCCCCAAACCCCCCCAAAAAAUUCCCCCAAAAUUCCCCCAAAAUCCCCCCAAAAAUUCCCCAAAAAACCCCAAAAUCUCCCCAAAAAUUCUUCCAAAAUUCCCCCCAAAAUCUCCAAAAAAUUCCUCCAAAAUCCUCCCCAAAAAACCCAAAUAUUCCCCCCAAAAACCCCAAAAUUUCCCCCAAAAUCCCCUCGUGCCUCAGUUUCCCUUUUUUUUUUUUAUUUUUUGAAGCCAAAUUUUGGGAAUUAAAUUUGGGAAUUUUGGGGAUUUUCCCCCAAAUUUUGGGGUUUUUUUCUCCUGAUUUUUGGGGUUUUUUCCCCUGAAUUUUGGGGCAUUUUCCCCUCAAUUUUUGGGAGUUUUUCACCAAAUUUUGGGGGAUUUUCCCCAAAUUUUGAGGUUUUUUCCCCUGAAUUUUGGGGUUUUUUUCCCCAAAUUUUGGGGGGUUUUCUCCUGAAUUUUGGGGGAUUUUCCCCCAAAUUUUGGGGUUUCUUUUUCCUGAAUUUUGGGGCAUUUUCCCCAAAUCUUGGGGGAUUUUCUCCUGAAUUUUUGGGGAUUUUUUCCCCAAAUUUUUGGGGUUUUCUCUUGAAUUUUGGGGGUUUUUUUCCUCCUGAAUUUUGGGGGAUUUUCCCCAAAUUUUGAGGUUUUUUCCCCUGAAUUUUGGGGUUUUUUUCACCUGAAUUUUGGGGGAUUUUCCCCAAAUUUUUGUAGGUUUUCCCUGCCUCAGUUUCCCUCUCCCCCAAGGACCAUCCCAAACUCCCAAAGAUCCCAAAAUCCCAAAAAAAACCCAAAAACCACCCGGAGGGGGAGGGUGAAAAAAAAUCCCCAAACUGGGGUUAAAAAAUAAUAAAAAUAAAAACUUUAAAAAAAUAAA